UUCCAGCUCCAAUAGCGUAUAUUAAAGUUGUUGCAGUUAAAAAGCUCGUAGUUGGAUUUCUGGCCGGAGCGAUCGGUCCGCCUCAUUUGGGGUGUGUACUUGUGUCGUCUGUGGCCAUCCUUGGGGAGAACUGUUCUGGCAUUGAGUUGUCGGGGCAGGGAACCCCAUCGUUUACUGUGAAAAAAUUAGAGUGUUUAAAGCAGGCUUACGCCGUUGAAUACAUUAGCAUGGAAUAAUAAGAUAGGGCAUUGGUGGUCUAUUUUGUUGGUUUGCACACUUAUGCAAUGAUUAAUAGGGAUAGUUGGGGGUAUUCGUAUUUAAUUGUCAGAGGUGAAAUUCUUGGAUUUCUGAAAGACGAACUACUGCGAAAGCAUUUACCAAGGAUGUUUUCAUUAAUCAAGAACGAAAGUUAGGGGAUCGAAGAUG
Molecule: ribosomal RNA, 426 nt
Filed under: uncultured Hyphochytrium
Lineage: Eukaryota; Hyphochytriomycetes
Description: SSU rRNA
Rfam family: Eukaryotic small subunit ribosomal RNA
Source: RNAcentral